AGGUCAUGAUGAGGACACCUUCGCAAUAAUUCUUUGUACCUCUCCCAUGCUUCAUAUAAUGAUUCACCCUCAAAUUGGAUGAAUGUGGUGAUAUCAUUCCUUAGCUU
This is a small nucleolar RNA of Quercus robur (English oak), 107 nucleotides long. The record is from RefSeq and is a predicted model, not a curated record. NCBI's taxonomy places the organism in Eukaryota, Viridiplantae, Streptophyta, Magnoliopsida, Fagales, Fagaceae.